This 253-nucleotide ribosomal RNA is filed under the name uncultured bacterium. RNAcentral describes it as "partial 16S ribosomal RNA". It matches the Rfam family "Bacterial small subunit ribosomal RNA", at positions 524 to 776 of the family's 1533-position model. The record is from RNAcentral.
UACGGAGGGAGCAAGCGUUGUUCGGAAUUACUGGGCGUAAAGCGCACGUAGGCGGCGCGGUAAGCGUGCGGUGAAAGCCCGGGGCUCAACCCCGGGUCGGCCGUGCGGACUGCCGCGCUCGAGCACUGUAGAGGCGGGUGGAAUUCCGGGUGUAGCGGUGGAAUGCGUAGAGAUCCGGAAGAACACCGGUGGCGAAGGCGGCCCGCUGGGCAGUGGCUGACGCUGAGGCGCGACAGCGUGGGGAGCAAACAGG